AUUGAACGCUGGCGGCAGGCCUAACACAUGCAAGUCGAACGGUAACAGGAAGAAGCUUGCUUCUUUGCUGACGAGUGGCGGACGGGUGAGUAAUGUCUGGGAAACUGCCUGAUGGAGGGGGAUAACUACUGGAAACGGUAGCUAAUACCGCAUAACGUCGCAAGACCAAAGAGGGGGACCUUCGGGCCUUUUGCCAUCGGAUGUGCCCAGAUGGGAUUAGAUAGUAGGUGGGGUAACGGCUCACCUAGGCGACGAUCCCUAGCUGGUCUGAGAGGAUGACCAGCCACACUGGAACUGAGACACGGUCCAGACUCCUACGGGAGGCAGCAGUGGGGAAUAUUGCACAAUGGGCGCAAGCCUGAUGCAGCCAUGCCGCGUGUAUGAAGAAGGCCUUCGGGUUGUAAAGUACUUUCAGCGGGGAGGAAGGGAGUAAAGUUAAUACCUUUGCUCAUUGACGUUACCCGCAGAAGAAGCACCGGCUAACUCCGUG
This 490-nucleotide ribosomal RNA is filed under the name uncultured bacterium. RNAcentral describes it as "partial 16S ribosomal RNA". It matches the Rfam family "Bacterial small subunit ribosomal RNA", at positions 30 to 507 of the family's 1533-position model. The record is from RNAcentral.